CAGAGCGUUUUUGAUCCCAAACUGCAUUACCUUAAACUGGUAUAAGCCGAAUGGGGUAACAAAGGCCGACUUUGGAAUGGCUUCAGGGGCCAGGGGGAUCUGCCAAAUACCACUUACAAAGAUCAAUUGUCGUGAGGUAUUGGCCCCGGGCCAUUCUGUCUAAUAGUUCGUCUAUCCUGGGCAUGGGAUACGCAUCUGACAUGGUUUUAUUGUUUAACCUCCGGCAAUCCACUCAGAACCGUGUCAGACCAUCCCGUUUAGGUACGAGGACUACAGGGGAGGCCCAGGGCCUGUCAGAAG
Non-coding RNA from Pelobates cultripes (western spadefoot toad), 300 nucleotides. NCBI's taxonomy places the organism in Eukaryota, Metazoa, Chordata, Amphibia, Anura, Pelobatidae. The record is from the annotation of a GenBank genome assembly.